UUGUGGUUAAAAAGCUCGUAGUUGGAUCUCAACAGCCUUGAAGCGGUUAACUUUGUAGUUUUACUGCUUUAUAGGCUGUGCUUUUGCUGGAGGUUUAGGGGUGCUCUUGAUCGAGUGUCUCUGGAUGCCAGCAGGUUUACUUUGAAAAAAUUAGAGUGCUCAAAGCAGGCUAAAAUGCCUGAAUAUUCGUGCAUGGAAUAAUAGAAUAGGAUGUCGAUCCUAUUUUGUUGGUUUUCGGGACUCGACAUAAUGAUAAAUAGGGACAGUCGGGGGCAUUUGUAUUCAAACGACAGAGGUGAAAUUCUUGGACCGUUUGAAGACAAACUACUGCGAAAGCAUUUGCCAAGAAUGUUUUCAUUAAUCAAGAACGAAAGUUAGAGGUUCGAAGGCGAUUAGAUACCGCCCUAGUUCUAACCAUAAACGAUGCCAGCUAGCGAUCUGCCUGCGUUUUUACUGUAGACUGGGCAGGAAGCUUCCGGGAAACCAAAGCAUUUGGGUUCCAGGGGAAGUAUGGUUGCAAACUGAAACUUAAAGGAAUUGACGGAAGGGCACCACCAGGAGUGGAGCCUGUGGCUUAAUUUGACUCAACACGGGAAAUCUCACC
RNAcentral lists this ribosomal RNA (604 nucleotides) under uncultured marine eukaryote. Its description in RNAcentral is "SSU rRNA". It matches the Rfam family "Eukaryotic small subunit ribosomal RNA", at positions 613 to 1219 of the family's 1831-position model. The record is from RNAcentral.